AGUUCCAGCUCUCCCAGACUAUGCCGAUUAUUCUGCUGCUGCAAUUGGUGCUGAUUGGUCGAGUGGUCAAAUCCCAGAAGCACAAUGGACACCUGAUAUGGCUGCUCCAAUUCCACCGGUUGCAAGUGGUUGGACUGCUGAUGCAGGUGCAGGUGUGGCCGCUGAUGGGUGAGAUACAACUGCUGCUCCACCGAUGGUAGCUCCUGCUGUAGAUAUAGCGCCCGCUGUUGCUCCAAGUGGCUGGGAGUAAAUGAGAUUUGCUCAAACCAUUUACUUCUCAUGAUCCCCUCCCUAAAACUUUCUUCUUGAAAUUCAUUUGCUCUUUUUGUUGGCAAUGUUGAAUUUUUGUAGUAGAGUUUUAUAGGGCUUUGGCUAAGAUCAGAGUUCUAUGACUAAUUUAAAUAGAGGGAUUUUUUUUUUUUCGG
Sesamum indicum (sesame) is the source of this 425-nucleotide non-coding RNA. The record is from RefSeq and is a predicted model, not a curated record. NCBI's taxonomy places the organism in Eukaryota, Viridiplantae, Streptophyta, Magnoliopsida, Lamiales, Pedaliaceae.